UACGUAGGGUGCAAGCGUUGUCCGGAAUUAUUGGGCGUAAAGAGCUCGUAGGCGGUCUGUUGCGUCGGAUGUGAAAACCCAGGGCUCAACCCUGGGCCUGCAUUCGAUACUGGCAGACUAGAGUGCGGUAGGGGAGACUGGAAUUCCUGGUGUAGCGGUGAAAUGCGCAGAUAUCAGGAAGAACACCCGUGGCUAAGGCGGCUCUCUAGUACGGUACUGACGCUGAGACGCGAAAGCGUGGGGAGCGAACAGG
This 253-nucleotide ribosomal RNA is filed under the name uncultured bacterium. RNAcentral's name for it is "partial 16S ribosomal RNA". It matches the Rfam family "Bacterial small subunit ribosomal RNA", at positions 524 to 776 of the family's 1533-position model. The record is from RNAcentral.